RNAcentral lists this transfer RNA (72 nucleotides) under Bos taurus (domestic cattle). It matches the Rfam family "tRNA". Rfam says of the family: Transfer RNA (tRNA) molecules are approximately 80 nucleotides in length. Lineage: Eukaryota; Metazoa; Chordata; Mammalia; Artiodactyla; Bovidae. The record is from Rfam by way of RNAcentral. RNAcentral also lists the same sequence under 4 other names.
UCCCAGAUAGCUCAGUUGGUAAAGAAUCUGCCUGCAAUGCAGGAGACCCGGAUUUGAUCCCUGGGUUGGGAA